RNAcentral lists this non-coding RNA (132 nucleotides) under uncultured Stichotrichia. Lineage: Eukaryota; Ciliophora; Spirotrichea. The record is from RNAcentral.
AAAAGGGAACGGGCAUAAAAACAAAACAAAAAGAAAAGAAGUGUAGAUUUCUUUUAUAUGUUGUGUACUCCCUUUCUUCUGACUGAUCUUCUUCUGCUUGUCUGAUUCUUCUAUCUCCAAUUUAUAAAAAAA